Molecule: long non-coding RNA, 2197 nt
Filed under: Marmota monax (woodchuck)
Lineage: Eukaryota; Metazoa; Chordata; Mammalia; Rodentia; Sciuridae
Source: RNAcentral
CACUACUGGAAUGACUCCGCACCAUGUACAGCCAGAGGAAUGAGAAAUUGUGCUCCAUUUGUGUAAAAUAUGUCAAAAUGCAUUCUAUUAUCAUGUAUAACUAAUUAAAACAAUUAAAAAAUAAAAAAGAAGAAAAAAAUUACAAUGAGCUAAAUCUAUAUAGUUUGAGCCUUCUAGGAUAUCCCCACCUCUGUCACAUGCACAUGGAGCACUGUCCACAAGUUUUUACGCUUCUUUACAGUGUCACCAAAUAUAUCAUUAUAUGUAUAUACACAUAUAUGCAGAUAUACAUUAUGUAAUAUUUUGUUCCUUUGGUCUUGUUUUGGGAUCUUCUGAAAAUAGAAUCUCAUACUCUCAUAUACAUUCUUUUGCAGCUUUCCCUCAUGAAGUUGCACCCCUUCAGCUGAACAUCAGGAAGAAGGAAAAACCAGACAAGCUUGAGGGUCAGAAGGACGCUAGGCCUGCUCCAAUCACUCUGGAAGCUGACUAGCCUGCACACACCCACAGCAUGAGGAAACAUCAGCCCUGCUUCAGCGACUUGGGGGCUGGCUAAACAACACACAGUAAAAGAUAAACUGACCAACAGGAUAAAUGGACUGUUUCAUCCUCUAAGACAGCUCUUAUACUGUGAUGUAUUGCUACCCCUUACUUCUAUCAUAUAUAUAGUCAUUUCCUUGGGCUUUACUAAAGGAUUGAUAAAGUCAGAAACAUAGUUAACAAUAUCAGAAAGCUAGCACAUGUACCAGUUCAAACCUGAAAGGCAUUAAAGCUUGGCUUCCAAGCUCAGUAUUUGGAGGAUGGUUUUCUAUUCUUGGUGGAUUCAAAAACUCAAAAGCAUUAUGCCCUUACCUUGUUUAUUGUUUCCAUGUGUGUCUCCCCUUUACAUUAAAACCAUAGAGUCUACUACAGAAGCAGCAGUUUUAAAAAAGACAACAACUAAAAUCAUAAAGUUAAGCCAAGAAGAUAAUAAUUGUCUUUAAUCUAAAGGAUUAAAUAAUGAGCAUCAAAGGGGGUAAUGUUGUAGUCCCCCCCCAAAAAAAAAUAACACUUAAUUUUAACAUAGAAUCCUCUCUCCUAGUCAACAAGAUCUUUUUUUAAAAUGUCAGCAGGAGUUCUGAAGAGCUCAUUGUAGGUUGAGCUCUUUGUUGUAGAGGCCAGGUUUCUCUUUCUUGUGAAAGUUAGGUCCGCAAUCAACUUGUUGAUGUGCAAGUUACUGUUUUCUUAAAAAACUUGUGAAAUCUCUGUCCAGCCUAAGAAAAUGGAACAAAAAGUAUCUGUUAUGUUAACCACCCUGUUUUGUUAACUACCCACUGAGUAUAAAUCUCAAAGAAUAUCCAGACUCUGGAUCCAGAAAUUCUACACUAGCCCCUCUGGACCACUGCAGCUUAAAUAAACCUGCUUCCUGAAAAUUUCUCAGGUGUUCAGACUCAUCUGUCAUAUACCAAAGUCUGCUUGAAAUGCUAGAAUGUCCCCAUUCUUGAAGGGCAUACAGAGACAGUCUCUCUAAAUCUGCCAUAAUAUGAAUUCUAUGCAAGGUCAUUAAUCACAAAAAGCUAAAGGGAGAUGGCACUAUAGUGACCUGCUGGAUGUAAAGUCAAUGUUGUAUGAUAAAACUCACAUUGUAUACAUAUAUUAAAUUAUUGUGAUAUACCCCAUAAAGAUAUGUAAAUGAUACAUCUGAAUUUUUUUAAUCUGUGGGAAAAUGUGAUUUGUUUGAAAUCCGAAUGCCAGGUUUUCAUUUUAUGUUGUUUCUAAUAUGCUGUAAUUAUGUUUAAUGAUAUCAUUACAUUUUUAGAUCCGAAAGACAUCAGCAUUUUAUAUUGUAAAGAGGAUUUUGUUAGUAAAAGGGGUAUGUUAGAGAUUAGAAUGUAUGCUUUGCCACUUUAAAAGUUAACAUGUUGAAUUAAAUACUUGAAUUAGUGUUAUGUUCCAUCUUCUCCUAUGCAAAUUUUUAAAAUAUUUUGUUUUUUGAUGUUUAGGUACACAUUACAAUAGAGUGUAUUUUGACAUAUUAUACAUACAUGGCGUAUAACUUAUUCUACUUAGGAUCCCAUUCUUGCAGUUGUACAUGUUUUGGAAUUACUGGUAAUGUAUUCAUAUAUAAACAUCUUGACUUAAUAUAACUUUAUUUUUAAAUUUAUGUGUAGCCUAAAUUUUUAAAAAUAAUUCAUAUGUUUUGAAACUGAUUGGAUAAUUC